UCCCAAAGGCUGCCAACCUUCCAAACAAAGAACCACAGCCCCAAAAUUAAAACUGCUAGGGUUCUUAACAUCUACCAAAUUCACCAUUUUGUUUGGCAAUCGAUAGUAUACCACCAUGAAUAGAUCCAUGCCUCGUCCAUGAAAAUGUGGGACGACCAUACGGAGGAGAUGACCCCGGGUGACAUGGAGGCCGAGCGCGAGGGUCUCUCGUUUGAAGCUGACCCUGUGGUUUAUUCCAGAAUAUUCUAGCAUUCUUUAGCUGCUAACAUUAUUUUUGGAUAUAUUGGUCCUGGGGUAAUGGGUUAUUUGGGCUAAUUUUUAUUGGGUUUGGGGAUUUGGGAAUUUGAGUAUCUGUUCAAUUGGGUCAGACUUUAUGUAACUGGGUUAAGUUUAUAUUAAGGGAUUUUGGGUUUAAGUUAUUUUUGGGCCAAAUAUUUGUAACUGGACACUGGACUUAUUUAUUUGACUUAUUUUAAUAUUUUAAAA
This is a long non-coding RNA of Gossypium arboreum, 486 nucleotides long. RefSeq lists it as uncharacterized. The transcript has 2 exons. The record is from RefSeq and is a predicted model, not a curated record. NCBI's taxonomy places the organism in Eukaryota, Viridiplantae, Streptophyta, Magnoliopsida, Malvales, Malvaceae.